Long non-coding RNA from Bufo bufo (common toad), 170 nucleotides. RefSeq lists it as uncharacterized. The record is from RefSeq and is a predicted model, not a curated record. Lineage: Eukaryota; Metazoa; Chordata; Amphibia; Anura; Bufonidae. The transcript has 3 exons.
ACAUAUGACGGCACAACUACACUGCUACAUGCAUUGGGGGCAGGGGUCACUAUUAACGGAUGGGCGCUGUGGAGUUCACUGUUAAAGGGGGCGGGCACUGUGGAGGUCACUGUUAAAGGGGCGGUCACUGUUAAAGGGGCGGGCACUGUGAAGGUCACUGUGAAAGGGGC